GUAACAUUUCUAGCUUGCUAGAAGAUGACGAGUGGCGGACGGGUGAGUAAUGCUUGGGAACUUGCCUUUGCGAGGGGGAUAACAGUUGGAAACGACUGCUAAUACCGCAUAAUGUCUUCGGACCAAACGGGGCUUAGGCUCCGGCGCAAAGAGAGGCCCAAGUGAGAUUAGCCAGUUGGUAAGGUAACGGCUUACCAAGGCGACGAUCUCUAGCUGUUCUGAGAGGAAGAUCAGCCACACUGGGACUGAGACACGGCCCAGACUCCUACGGGAGGCAGCAGUGGGGAAUAUUGCACAAUGGGGGAAACCCUGAUGCAGCCAUGCCGCGUGUGUGAAGAAGGCCUUCGGGUUGUAAGGCACUUUCAGUUGUGAGGAAAAGUUAGUAGUUAAUACCUGCUAGCCGUGACGUUAACAACAGAAGAAGCACCGGCUAACUCCGUGCCAGCAGCCGCGGUAAUACGGAGGGUGCGAGCGUUAAUCGGAAUUACUGGGCGUAAAGCGCACGCAGGCGGUUUGUUAAGCUAGAUGUGAAAGCCCCGGGCUCAACCUGGGAUGGUCAUUUAGAACUGGCAGACUAGAGUCUUGGAGAGGGGAGUGGAAUUCCAGGUGUAGCGGUGAAAUGCGUAGAUAUCUGGAGGAACAUCAGUGGCGAAGGCGACUCCCUGGCCAAAGACUGACGCUCAUGUGCGAAAGUGUGGGUAGCGAACAGGAUUAGAUACCCUGGUAGUCCACACCGUAAACGCUAUCUACUAGCUGUGUGUGCCUUUAAGGCGUGCGUA
Molecule: ribosomal RNA, 779 nt
Filed under: uncultured Alteromonas sp.
Lineage: Bacteria; Pseudomonadati; Pseudomonadota; Gammaproteobacteria; Alteromonadales; Alteromonadaceae
Description: bacterial SSU rRNA
Rfam family: Bacterial small subunit ribosomal RNA
Source: RNAcentral